GAACUACGCGGGUUUGAUUCUCACCGGAUGUGAGAUACGUAGGCAACCCUCAUCGGGUCCAACCCCACCUUUGCUAAAAUAGCCAAAAAAAAAAUUAUAAAUAAGUCGGGUGAUGUCCAACCCACCUUUUGCUAAAAUAGCCAAAAAUCAAAAAUUUUAAUCUUGUUAUAAAUAAGUCGGGUGAUGCUGUUUUGUCAAAAAUAGCCGAAUGUUCCCGAAAGGGACCCCGGAAGGCUGACUUUGCACAAACGGCCACUUUUGGGUCAUGUUUAAGAUUUGGUCCAGUUGACCCACACAGCCUUAAAAAUCUUCGUCCCCGAGACGUUGAAAGGCCGUGUUUGCAAUAUUGAGUUUUCUAUUUUUGAAAAAUGAUAAAAAGAGUCAUAAAUAAAUCAGGUGAUGUUGUUUGUCAUAAAUAGCCGAAUGUUCCCGAAAGGGACGCCGGAAGGCUGAUUUUGCAUAAACAACCACCUUUUGGGGUCAUGUUUAGGAGUUUGGUCCAGUUGACCCGCACAGCCUUAAAAAUCUUCGUCCCCGAGGCGCUGAAGGGACGCGUUUGCAACACCAGGUUUUAUUAUAAUCUGAAAAGAAAAAAAAUACCGUUUGAAUUUUGUCAUAAUAAGCCGAGCCAGCUUCGGCCGCGUCUUAAACCGUUCUUGCCGAAAUAGCCUUAGAGUAUCUUCAGUUGUCGAAAGGUUAUUUUCGUAAAAGAAUGGACAAAUUUGUAAAGUGUCAUAAAAUAAUCCUCCCCGGCCUCAAAAUUUAUAUGAAAUUUGGAAGGGGCCACAUUUGCAAAGAAUAACCGUCUGGUUGCAUU
RNAcentral lists this long non-coding RNA (817 nucleotides) under Nicotiana tabacum (common tobacco). RNAcentral's name for it is "long non-coding RNA (NTAB_LNC006939)". Lineage: Eukaryota; Viridiplantae; Streptophyta; Magnoliopsida; Solanales; Solanaceae. The record is from RNAcentral.